GUUCAUGUGGCCCCCUGUGGUGAUGCUGUUCCCUUCCCCUGUUUGAGGGACAUUUCCAUGACACCCUACGCCCAAUGUGCAGCAACAGAAGGACUCUAGACAGUUUGUCCUCCCACACAGAGCCUCGGCGUUGACUGCACCAAGCUUCAGCGAGUCAACAAAGCUCAGGUUAACCGAGCAACGUCUUUCACCGAGUUGAUGACCUUCCAGCAGCAUGACGUCCAUCUCUGAAUGUGUCUCUGGGAACAGUCCGUAAAUCACAGAGUCCUAUGUGACGGAGUUGUUCAG
Long non-coding RNA from Amblyraja radiata (thorny skate), 288 nucleotides. RefSeq lists it as uncharacterized. Lineage: Eukaryota; Metazoa; Chordata; Chondrichthyes; Rajiformes; Rajidae. The record is from RefSeq and is a predicted model, not a curated record. The transcript is spliced from 2 exons.